Molecule: long non-coding RNA, 631 nt
Organism: Raphanus sativus (radish)
Lineage: Eukaryota; Viridiplantae; Streptophyta; Magnoliopsida; Brassicales; Brassicaceae
Exons: 3
Source: RefSeq, a predicted model, not a curated record
UCCUCAUCUCCGGUGUCGUCAUCAUUUUCGGUUUCUCCCUCAGAUCUGUCGUUUUGCCGCCGUCUCAAUUGUCGUCAAAGAGCUCUGCAAGUGCCAGCGACGACAGAGCUCCGGUUACACGGGGUCAAAGACAUCAUCCCAAUUGCGUCUGGCAAAGGCGGAGUUGGAAAGUCUUCCACUGCUGAUUUGGGAAGGUCUUGGAAGGAGAAAUGGAGAUGUGUCUGAAGAUUGCGCAAGAGACAGGUGUUUUAGUGGAUCCAAUGUAUAUUUUAGCUGCUUGGGAGAGAGCAACAGAGCUUGUGCAGGAGGACGAUAAUUCGAGCAUUGUAGUGAUGCUUCACACUGGAGGCACUCUUGGGAUAUUUGGUCUUGCUCAAAGAUACAAAUCUCUUUUCGCCAACUUGAAUGAUUAGGCUUUUUUUUUGUAGCAUACCAUUUCCAAGACUUGAAUAGACAUCAAUCUAAAGGUUCAGUUAAGCUUUAGCUUAGUAAUCAUUAAGUUUUACGUGUUAUGCUGUAUUUGACUUUUUGCUUUUUCGAUUUUGGAAGACUUUAUUCAAAUUUAGGAUAGCUAUCCUGAACAAGAAUUGUUUUAAGAUUGUCUUGAUAAUUAUUUUCUGGAAGGCUUUCC